AUAGGCAAAGGCCAAGGCAAACGCAACGCCUCCUCCUCUGCUUCUUCCUCUGCUGCUACUGCUAGUGCUAAUCCCUUCCUAGUUCCUACUGCUCGUGCUCAAGCUCAAGCUCCGGUCUCCAACCUCGAGGUCAAUCGCAGCAGGAGAGGAGAAAAGGAUGGAGGUGGAGAUGAUGGAGGACGACGUGUUCUUCGCCGAGCUCAGCAAGCGGAUAUCGCUCCUCAUCACGGACGACGACGAGGCGGCCGACUUCGGCGCCGCACGCUUCCCCGCCUCCGCCGCCGCGCCCAUCCCGGGAUUCUCGCUCGCCCAUGUGCCGAUGGGCGCGUCGAUGGUGGCGCCACCGGCCUACACGUUGUACCACCACGCCGCCAGCUACAACAACGGCGCCGGCAUGAUCGGCGCCGGCGACAACGCCGCCGUCAGGGCGUGGCAGCAGCAGCAGCAGCAGCUGUGCGGCAGCAAGGGCACCGGCGUGUUCAUCCCCCGGUCGUCGCCGGGAUCCGUCCACCCCAAGAAGAAGGGCAAGAGCAAGGGCAACGUGCACAAGGCGGUACGGGGCCAAGCGGCGCCGGCGAAGAAACAAUCCUCUCAAAAAUGAAGAAAAAAAAGAAAGAGAAAAAAAACAGGCACAACUAACUCCAAUUGC
RNAcentral lists this long non-coding RNA (649 nucleotides) under Oryza sativa Indica Group (long-grained rice). RNAcentral's name for it is "lncRNA OsLima_05g0016070". Lineage: Eukaryota; Viridiplantae; Streptophyta; Magnoliopsida; Poales; Poaceae. The record is from RNAcentral.